UGAGGAAUAUUGGUCAAUGGGCGCAAGCCUGAACCAGCCAUCCCGCGUGCAGGAUGACGGCCCUAUGGGUUGUAAACUGCUUUUGUACAGGAAGAAAAAUCUCUACGUGUAGAGACCUGCCGGUACUGUACGAAUAAGCAUCGGCUAACUCCGUGCCAGCAGCCGCGGUAAUACGGAGGAUGCAAGCGUUAUCCGGAUUCAUUGGGUUUAAAGGGUGCGUAGGCGGCUAUUUAAGUCAGUGGUGAAAUCCUGUCGCUCAACGAUAGAACUGCCAUUGAUACUGAAUAGCUUGAGUACAGUUGAGGUAAGCGGAAUGUGUAGUGUAGCGGUGAAAUGCUUAGAUAUUACACAGAACACCGAUUGCGAAGGCAGCUUACUAAACUGCAACUGACGCUGAUGCACGAAAGCGUGGGGAUCGAACA
This 422-nucleotide ribosomal RNA is filed under the name uncultured prokaryote. RNAcentral's name for it is "bacterial SSU rRNA". It matches the Rfam family "Bacterial small subunit ribosomal RNA", at positions 355 to 774 of the family's 1533-position model. The record is from RNAcentral.